UACGUAGGUGGCAAGCGUUGUCCGGAUUUACUGGGCGUAAAGGGCGCGUAGGCGGCCACCGCAAGUCGACUGUGAAAUCUCCGGGCUUAACCCGGAAAGGUCAGCCGAUACUGCGGGGCUAGAGUGCAGAAGGGGCAAGUGGAAUUCUCGGUGUAGCGGUGAAAUGCGUAGAUAUCGAGAGGAACACCUGCGGCGAAGGCGGGUUGCUGGGCUGGCACUGACGCUGAGGCGCGAAAGUGUGGGGAGCGAACAGG
This 254-nucleotide ribosomal RNA is filed under the name uncultured bacterium. RNAcentral describes it as "partial 16S ribosomal RNA". It matches the Rfam family "Bacterial small subunit ribosomal RNA", at positions 524 to 776 of the family's 1533-position model. The record is from RNAcentral.